This 337-nucleotide ribosomal RNA is filed under the name Nematoda environmental sample. RNAcentral's name for it is "SSU rRNA". It matches the Rfam family "Eukaryotic small subunit ribosomal RNA", at positions 1300 to 1665 of the family's 1831-position model. The record is from RNAcentral. Lineage: Eukaryota; Metazoa; Nematoda.
GGUGGAGCGAUUUGUCUGGUUUAUUCCGAUAACGAGCGAGACGCACCCCUACUUAAUACACCGUGAAUAAUUUCGUUCACAGGUGUUCUUAGAGGAAUUGGCGGUAUCGAGCCGCACGAAAGUGCGCAAUAACAGGUCUGUGAUGCCCUUAGAUGUUCGGGGCUGCACGCGUGCUACACUGGAGUCUGCAACGUGCUCCAUGGCCGAAGGGUCACUGGUAAACCGUUGAAAAGAUUCCGUGAUCGGGAUAGGGAAUUGCAAUUAUUUCCCUUGAACGAGGAAUUCCUAGUAAGUGUGAGUCAUCAUCUCGCUCUUAAUACGUCCCUGCCCUUUGUAC